GACGAACGCUGGCGGCGUGCUUAACACAUGCAAGUCGAACGGUGAAGCGCCUUCCUUUUUGGUGGGUGUGGAUGAGUGGCGAACGGGUGAGUAACACGUGAGUAACCUGCCCCCUUCUUCUGGAUAACCGCAUGAAAGUGUGGCUAAUACGGGAUAUUCUGGGUCUGUCGCAUGAUGGGUCUGGGAAAGAUAUUGUUUCGGUGGGGGAUGGGCUCGCGGCCUAUCAGCUUGUUGGUGGGGUGAUGGCCUACCAAGGCGGUGACGGGUAGCCGGCCUGAGAGGGUGGGCGGUCACACUGGGAAUGAGAGACGGCCCAGACUCCUACGGGAGGCAGCAGUGGGGAAUAGUGCACAAUGGGCGCAAGGCUGAUGCAGCGACGCCGCGUGAGGGAUGGAGGCCUUCGGGUUGUGAACCUCUUUCGCCAGUGAAGCAGGCCUGCCUCGUUUGUGGGUGGGUUGACGGUAGCUGGAUAAGAAGCGCCGGCUAACUACGUG
This 494-nucleotide ribosomal RNA is filed under the name uncultured bacterium. RNAcentral's name for it is "partial 16S ribosomal RNA". It matches the Rfam family "Bacterial small subunit ribosomal RNA", at positions 28 to 507 of the family's 1533-position model. The record is from RNAcentral.